This 164-nucleotide unclassified non-coding RNA is filed under the name uncultured Penicillium. RNAcentral's name for it is "sequence contains ITS2". Lineage: Eukaryota; Fungi; Ascomycota; Eurotiomycetes; Eurotiales; Aspergillaceae. The record is from RNAcentral.
CUGCCCUCAAGCACGGCUUGUGUGUUGGGCCCCGUCCUCCGCUCCCGGGGGACGGGCCCGAAAGGCAGCGGCGGCACCGCGUCCGGUCCUCGAGCGUAUGGGGCUUUGUCACCCGCUCUGUAGGCCCGGCCGGCGCUUGCCGAUCAACCAAACUUUUAUCCAGG